This 43-nucleotide ribosomal RNA is filed under the name Helicostylis tomentosa. RNAcentral's name for it is "partial 18S ribosomal RNA". The record is from RNAcentral. Lineage: Eukaryota; Viridiplantae; Streptophyta; Magnoliopsida; Rosales; Moraceae.
GAUCAUUGUCGAGACCUUUACCCCGCCAGAGUGACCCGCGAAC